GACGAACGCUGGCGGCGUGCUUAACACAUGCAAGUCGAGCGGUAAGGCCCUUUCGGGGGUACACGAGCGGCGAACGGGUGAGUAACACGUGGGUGACCUGCCCUCAGCUCUGGGAUAAGCCCGGGAAACUGGGUCUAAUACCGGAUAUGACUCCAUGACGCAUGUUGUGGGGUGGAAAGCCUUGUGCGGCUGAGGAUGGGCCCGCGGCCUAUCAGCUUGUUGGUGGGGUGAUGGCCUACCAAGGCGACGACGGGUAGCCGGCCUGAGAGGGCGACCGGCCACACUGGGACUGAGAUACGGCCCAGACUCCUACGGGAGGCAGCAGUGGGGAAUCUUGCGCAAUGGGCGAAAGCCUGACGCAGCGACGCCGCGUGAGGGAUGACGGCCUGGUGUAACGU
This 398-nucleotide ribosomal RNA is filed under the name uncultured bacterium. RNAcentral describes it as "bacterial SSU rRNA". It matches the Rfam family "Bacterial small subunit ribosomal RNA", at positions 28 to 431 of the family's 1533-position model. The record is from RNAcentral.